GACAGCAGCAGCCACGGGAAUACGUAGGGUGCAAGCGUUAAUCGGAAUUACUGGGCGUAAAGCGUGCGCAGGCGGUUAUAUAAGACAGAUGUGAAAUCCCCGGGCUCAACCUGGGAACUGCAUUUGUGACUGUAUAGCUAGAGUACGGCAGAGGGGGAUCGAAUUCCGCGUGUAGCAGUGAAAUGCGUAGAUAUGCGGAGGAACACCGAUGGCGAAGGCAAUCCCCUGGGCCUGUACUGACGCUCAUGCACGAAAGCGUGGGGAGCAAACAGGAUUAGAUACCCGAGUAGUCCCUGUCUCUUAUAC
RNAcentral lists this ribosomal RNA (306 nucleotides) under uncultured bacterium. RNAcentral describes it as "partial 16S ribosomal RNA". It matches the Rfam family "Bacterial small subunit ribosomal RNA", at positions 507 to 807 of the family's 1533-position model. The record is from RNAcentral.